GUCAGUGUGAUGAUUGUC
This 18-nucleotide microRNA is filed under the name Caenorhabditis elegans. The record is from RNAcentral. Lineage: Eukaryota; Metazoa; Nematoda; Chromadorea; Rhabditida; Rhabditidae.